This 521-nucleotide ribosomal RNA is filed under the name uncultured Burkholderia sp. Its description in RNAcentral is "bacterial SSU rRNA". It matches the Rfam family "Bacterial small subunit ribosomal RNA", at positions 8 to 524 of the family's 1533-position model. Lineage: Bacteria; Pseudomonadati; Pseudomonadota; Betaproteobacteria; Burkholderiales; Burkholderiaceae. The record is from RNAcentral.
AGAGUUUGAUCCUGGCUCAGAUUGAACGCUGGCGGCAUGCCUUACACAUGCAAGUCGGACGGCAGCGCGGGAGCAAUCCUGGCGGCGAGUGGCGAACGGGUGAGUAAUACAUCGGAACAUGUCCAGUAGUGGGGGAUAGCCCGGCGAAAGCCGGAUUAAUACCGCAUACGAUCUACGGAUGAAAGCGGGGGACCUUCGGGCCUCGCGCUAUAGGGUUGGCCGAUGGCUGAUUAGCUAGUUGGUGGGGUAAAGGCCUACCAAGGCGACGAUCAGUAGCUGGUCUGAGAGGACGACCAGCCACACUGGGACUGAGACACGGCCCAGACUCCUACGGGAGGCAGCAGUGGGGAAUUUUGGACAAUGGGCGAAAGCCUGAUCCAGCAAUGCCGCGUGUGUGAAGAAGGCCUUCGGGUUGUGAAGCACUUUUGUCCGGAAAGAAAUCCUUGGCUCUAAUACAGUCGGGGGAUGACGGUGCCGGAAGAAUAAGCACCGGCUAACUACGUGCCAGCAGCCGCGGUAAA